RNAcentral lists this ribosomal RNA (2021 nucleotides) under metagenome. RNAcentral's name for it is "bacterial LSU rRNA". It matches the Rfam family "Bacterial large subunit ribosomal RNA", at positions 1 to 1978 of the family's 2925-position model. The record is from RNAcentral.
GCAAUUAAGAGCGUAUAGAGAAUGCCUAGGCUCUCAGAGGCGAUGAAGGACGUGAUAAGCUGCGAUAAGCUACGGGUAUUGGCUAAUACAAAUAGAUCCGUAGAUUUCCGAAUAGGGUAACCUAUUCUGAUGAAGUCAGAAUAUCUUAAUAAACAAUUAAGAUGCAAACCUGGAGAACUGAAACAUCUAAGUAACCAGAGGAAAAUAAAACAAUAGUGAUUCUGUUAGUAGUGGCGAGCGAAAACGGAAUAGCCCAAACUAUUUUAACUUAAAUUUUAAAAUAGGGUAGUAGGACUAAAGUUAAAACUAAAUCAAGAACUUAAAUUAUUUGGAAAAAUAUACUAUAAAAGGUGAUAGUCCUGUCAAGGUAAAUGAUUUAGUUUUUUUUGGUAUCCUGAGUAAAUCGAAACUGGAGAAAUUUUGAUUGAAUUUGCCGGCACCAUCCGGUAAGGCUAAAUACUACUGAGAGACCGAUAGUGUACAAGUACCGUGAGGGAAAGGUGAAAAGUACUCUGAAUAAGAGAGUGAAAAGUUCCUGAAACUAUACGUUUACAAGCGGUUGAAGUUUUAAUACACAAUACUUAUUAGAACGACAGCGUGCCUUUUGCAUAAUGAGCCUACGAGUUAAUCUUUUUUGGCAAGGUUAAUUUUUUAAAAAAAAGAAGCCGGAGCGAAAGCGAGUUUUAAUAGAGCGAUUUAGUCAAAAGAGUUAGACGCGAAACUUGGUGAUCUACCCAUGAUCAGGCUGAAGUAUUGGUAAAACAAUAUGGAGGGCCGAACUAUUAGAUGUUGCAAAAUCUUUAGAUGAAUUGUGGGUAGGGGUGAAAGGCCAAUCAAACUAAGAAAUAGCUCGUACUCUUCGAAAUGCUUUUAGGAGCAGCCUUGAAUAAUAUACUAUCAGGGGUAGAGCUACCGAUAAAAUAAGAGGAAGUUAAAUUUUAUCUUGUUUAGACGAACUCCGAAUACUGUUUAGUUUUUUUUCAGGAGAGAGGGUUAGGGUGCUAAGGUCCUAAUCCAAAAGGGAAAGAACCCAGAUCAUCAGCUAAGGUCCCAAAAUUUAUACUAAGUUGAACUAAGGAAGUUUAUUUGCUAAGACAGCUAGAAUGUUGGCUUGGAAGCAGCCAUCAUUUAAAGAGUGCGUAACAGCUCACUAGUUAAGCAAAAAAGCGUCAAUAAUAAGCGGGCAUUAAGUAUAAUACCGAAGCUAUGACUUUAUUUGUUUUAACAAAUUAAAGGGUAGAAGAGCAUUCCAAUUGAGUUGAAGUUAAAAAGAAAUUUUUGGUGGAUUUUUUGGAAGAGAAAAUGUAGGCAUAAGUAACGAAAAUAAUAGCGAGAAACUAUUACACCGUAAAACUAAGGUUUUCACGGCUAUGAUAAUCAACCGUGAGUUAGUCGGUCCCUAAAAAUUAAUCGAAAGGUGAAAUUGAUGGAUAAUCGUUUAAUAUUCCGAUACUAGCUAGUAAUAGAAAUGAAGAGACGAAGAAGUGAAAAUUUUGCCCUGUGACGGAAAUCAGGGUUAAAGCUUGUAGGUAUAAAUAUAAUAGGAAAAUCCAUUAUGUUUGCUGAAAGUUAUAGUACUAUGAUCCUUUUUUAGGAAAUUAGAUAAUAAAUUUAAUCAUACUUCCAAGAAAAUCUUCUAAUUGAUAUUAUUUAUUAGCUAUCCGUACCGUAAACCAACACAGGUAGUUGAGGAGAGUAUCCUAAGGUGUUCGAGUGAUUCGUGGCUAAGGAACUAGGCAAAAAUACUCCGUAACUUCGGGAGAAGGAGUGCCUAACUUUAUAAAUAACUUAAAGUUGUUUAUAAUGAAAGGCCGCAGUGAAAAGAUCUGGACGACUGUUUACCAAAAACACAUGGCUUUGCAAAAUUGAAAAAUUAAGUAUAAGGCCUGACACCUGCCCGGUGCCGGAAGGUUAAUAAAAUUUGUUAGAUUAUAAUUUUAAUCGAAGCAUUUAAUAGAAGCCCCGGUAAACGGCGGCCGUAACUAUAACGGUCCUAAGGUAGCGAAAUUCCUUGUCGGGUA